This is a long non-coding RNA of Solanum lycopersicum (tomato), 1111 nucleotides long. RefSeq lists it as uncharacterized. The record is from RefSeq and is a predicted model, not a curated record. Lineage: Eukaryota; Viridiplantae; Streptophyta; Magnoliopsida; Solanales; Solanaceae.
UACUUUGGAAUUAAUGAUUGUAGAUAAGAAACUCUCAAGAAUUUUUUGGUACCAUGAGUUAUGCACUCCUCUAGGGUGGAUGAGGACUCUCAUAAAUGAAUUGAUUCUUGAAAUCGAUGUAAAACAGAGCAGUCUCACAAGGAAGAAGAAGUCAUACAACUCUUCCAUUUUACCAUGGAAAGAAGUUCUUUACUGUGAGUGAUUCUUCAAGAAAUGAAGCAGGAAAUAAUAAUAUUAAGAAAAUUCAUGAUGUGUCAUUCAUGCCAGAAGCUAUCUUGUCGGAGCUUUCACGACAGUCAUGAGUCAUUCCAUCAAUGUGAUCAAUCAUCAACCCAUGACGGCGUAUUUUCUUAUGGAAGGUAAUGUUAUAAAAUUUCUUAGAAGGGUGAGGUUUUCUUGUGAUAUUACUUACUCACAUGACUUGAUGUAUCUCCCUUGAGGCCAAGUGUGAAAAUUGAACUUGUCAACAUCUAAAAUAGAAAAUUACAAGCUCGAGGGGAGUGUGCAAGUACGCACAAUGUGGCGUCAAAAGAAGGAAUGAUGUCCAGGUUUAAAACUCAUAAGGUAGGCGAAAAUAAUGUAGAAGAUGACCUACGAAGGCCAUCAAGGAUCCAUAGGUGGUGACCGUCGAAGUGCAGUUCAGGCUGAUGGAGAAGAUCGGAGAAAUCUAACUAAGUGUGGAACCAUAAGAGCAAAACAACUAAAUGAAUGUCUGUCGAUUGAUCUAUGCACCGUACUGGUGAACCAUCAAUUGGUUCAGAGAGGUUCCAGUACUUGACUUCUUCAAUAUUCUAAGUGUGGAUCAAUGGAGGCGCAUCGACGGGGUGUAUAUUGAUCGACGGACCAUACUGUUGGUCUGUUGUUUGAUUCACAGAAGGUGUUAUUCGGUGAAGAAAAGAUAAUUCCAAGUAUGGACUGACGAAAGCAGACGACGGACCGUCGUUCCAUCAACGGUUCGUUAGUGGGGUCAUCAAUUGAAGUCGCGUUUAUGGGAAGAACUUUUCUUAUUUCAAUUCUUUUUUCUAUAGAACAAUAUUUUCUACAAAUAGGGAAUUAAAGCCUCAUUUUGGGAGUUAACUACUCUUUUUAUUAUUCAAAUUUGUGUUAGAUA